AUUGAACGCUGGCGGAAUGCUUUACACAUGCAAGUCGAACGGCAGCACGGGUGCUGCACCUGGUGGCGAGUGGCGAACGGGUGAGUAAUGCACCGGAACGUAUCCAAUAAUGGGGGAUAACGCACCGAAAGGUGUGCUAAUACCGCAUACGCCCUGAGGGGGAAAGCGGGGGAUCGUAAGACCUCGCGUUAAUGGAGCGGCCGAUGCCGGAUUAGCUAGUUGGUGAGGUAAAGGCUCACCAAGGCGACGAUCCGUAGCUGGUCUGAGAGGACGACCAGCCACACUGGAACUGAGACACGGUCCAGACUCCUACGGGAGGCAGCAGUGGGGAAUUUUGGACAAUGGGCGCAAGCCUGAUCCAGCCAUUCCGCGUGAGUGAAGAAGGCCUUCGGGUUGUUAAAGG
This 403-nucleotide ribosomal RNA is filed under the name uncultured bacterium. RNAcentral's name for it is "bacterial SSU rRNA". It matches the Rfam family "Bacterial small subunit ribosomal RNA", at positions 30 to 432 of the family's 1533-position model. The record is from RNAcentral.